AGGAAGAGAAACUAACCAGGAUUUCCUCAGUAGCGGCGAGCGAACAGGAAAGAGCCCAGCACCGAAUCCCGCGGUUCCGCCGCAGGGAAAUGUGGUGUUCGGGAGGGUCCGUUUAUCCCGAGGUGUCGCGUCGCGUCCAAGUCCAUCUUGAAUGGGGCCACUUACCCGCAGAGGGUGCCAGGCCCGUAGCGACCGGUGCGCGCCUCGGGAGGAUCUCUCCUCAGAGUCGGGUUGCUUGAGAGUGCAGCUCUAAGUGGGUGGUAAACUCCAUCUAAGGCUAAAUACGACCACGAGACCGAUAGCGAACAAGUACCGUGAGGGAAAGUUGAAAAGAACUUUGAAGAGAGAGUUCAAGAGUACGUGAAACCGUUCAGGGGUAAACCUAAGAAACCCAAAAGAUCGAACGGGGAGAUUCAUCGUCAGCGACGCUGGCUUCGCGUCGGUGGGCGAUGCCCCGCGGGGCCUCGCGGCUCGCGCGCGGGCACGCUGCCGUGCGUCGAUGUCCGACGUUCGUCGUCGUGCACUUCUCCCCUAGUAGAACGUCGCGACCCGCUGGGUGUCGGUCUACGGCCCGGGAGCGGUGUCUGACGCGUCGCCGGUAAAACGGCCCGCCGUCAAACCCUCGGUCGCCCGGCCGGCUGCCCGGCGGUACACGCAAGGUACGAGGCCGCACACACACGCUCGAGAGAGUGAGAGAGUGCGUCGAGGCCGUCGCAAGCGCGCGCCACGGUACACGGAGGCACGGACCUAGCGCCGUCGCCGGUCCUGGCCCGCUGUUGGUCGCACGGUUAACCUUCGACAGGCCCGCGAACGUUCCCCCACGCGUCGCGCGCGCGGGGGGACCGAUAUACCGGUCGGCGACGCUACUGCUUUGGGUACUCUUAGGACCCGUCUUGAAACACGGACCAAGGAGUCUAACAUGUACGCGAGUCAUUGGGACUCCUUCGCGACACCUAAAGGCGCAAUGAAAGUGAAGGUCGGCCCUGGUCGUCGACCGAGGGAGGAUGGGCCGCGUCGCGGCGCGGCUCCGCACUCCCGGGGCGUCUCGUUCUCAUCGCGAGAAGAGGCGCACCCAGAGCGUACACGUUGGGACCCGAAAGAUGGUGAACUAUGCCUGGUCAGGACGAAGUCAGGGGAAACCCUGAUGGAGGUCCGUAGCGAUUCUGACGUGCAAAUCGAUCGUCGGAACUGGGUAUAGGGGCGAAAGACUAAUCGAACCAUC
This 1222-nucleotide ribosomal RNA is filed under the name Melissotarsus sp. CSM-2006. RNAcentral's name for it is "eukaryotic LSU rRNA". It matches the Rfam family "Eukaryotic large subunit ribosomal RNA", at positions 54 to 944 of the family's 3401-position model. The record is from RNAcentral. Lineage: Eukaryota; Metazoa; Arthropoda; Insecta; Hymenoptera; Formicidae.